UUGGUUGGUGGUUGGAAUGAUCGGUAGGAUGCUCGCUGGUGCGCAACAUGGCAUCUCGUCAAAAGGGCGUGGAAAAGUCGCGAAAGCCCGGCCAGCGUUGGUCGGGCACUUCUCCGUACUGCUGCGUGCAUGGCUGCCACAACAGUUACAGAAACACCGCUGGAAGACAGCCGCCCGUCAAGUUCUACCGGUUCCCAUGGAAGUCGUACGAAGCUGAAAGGAGGCAACGUUGGAUCGCGGCUGUGCGGCGCACAAGACCGAACGGCGAGCAGUGGCAUCCUAAGCGGAAUGAGACGCGCAUUUGCAGCGUCCACUUCGCUGGGAACGAAAAGAGUUCGAUUGCUGAGCACCCGGCGUACGUACCGACAUUGUUUCUGCCGUGCUACAAUAAACAUGAUGGUGUGUUGCCCCGGGCGAAGAAUAGAGGGCAGCAAAGGCUUCAGCAGCACAGCUCAUCUCUGCUAGUUGCUAAACCAUCGCCGUCACCCACUCCACUUGAAUAUCCAGACUUUGAGAUCAGAUAUGUUUCUGCGCCAACCCAGACAGAGAAUGACUCGUGCACGGGACCAUGCCAUCUGUUUCUUUCUACCAUCACCCAGUCUUCUGCCUCAACGCAAGUAUCACACGUCAGCGCCAUUGACAAAAGUGUGCAAUGAACUGUGCAGCAAGCGGUCCUGAGAAGCACAGUUGCGUGUUCCUCGGGUAUGACUCCUUGUACGGAAGAAUGCAUGCUUUCGUAUAACAAUGUCCCAUUCAGCAAUACCCAAGAUGCCAUGAAAUAAAUGAUUAGGGAUGUGAGCCAGGAAAGUACGUAUUUGUGGAUGCUGCAGCAGCCAGGUGCCCUUUCUGACCAGAGUGCAGGUGAGCCAAGCGGUGCAGACAAAGUCAUGUUUGUAGGCAUAAAGGCUUCUUGUUUGCUUUCCAAGGCUGGUACGUGAAAAUACCGCUCGGGGUGCCGAUACAAAAGAGCAAAUGUGGCUACUCUGGAAAUGACGCCUCGACCGUGUGAUGGGCCACGGUGUCUUAAGACACUGAGGGGUAGCUUGACAUCUUGGAGCCAUAUGGAGGAGCUUGAACUGCCCAAGUCUUACGUUGGUAUGUGUACGACAGUACAAGAGUGCCAGCGUUGCCGCAGCAAUCAACACGACAAGAGUGAGUUAAUGUUAAUUGGAAAGACAAAGUUGACACAGCACAGAUUCAGACAUGAACAUAGUCACUUCCUGCUCCUUUCCCAGUGGACUGUCGGUCAGGCCAGACGGUACAGAAUGAAGGAUUUCCAGGAGUGACUAACAUUAAGUGGGUGAAGUUGUCUAAGCAUGUCCACCAAGCCAUCCCAUGCUUCGCAACAGUUACUGUGCCAAGGAGGCCAAGACACUGAACCAUACUCGUCAGGUGAGAGGCAGCUCCAGACAUGCAAGUUUGAAGUACUCGCUGCACAUGCGGCCCAGCUGUAGGCCACAAGGGGAUGGCUAGUGUUCAAGAUUCGAAGAAUUCCCAACUCAUGGCUCGUUGGUGGUUUCUCUGAUGGACAUCUGCAUGCUGUAGUGGAGGGGCACACAUCAGCGCUGGGUCAACUUGGCCGUUUUCCCACCUGGGAGGUCGAUGUGGUUGGGUUGCCUGUGAUGUGUCUGUCAUCAGGAGCACCAGGCUUGUAUUGUCCUUCUGCGGGGCCUGGCGGUGUCACAAUCAAGAGAGAGAGUGGCCCGUUUUGAGGAUUCCACUACUCAGAAAUGAUUGUACACCAAGAGAAGAAGCGGCAUCACCGGCUAGCUUUCCUACAUUGCAGUUGUAAUUCUAUAAAUAAACUUCUUGCAGCAUAUAAAUAAAUCUCAGUGCCAUAAAAAGUUAUUGACAUCGACUGCAGCCUGAAAAUUAAAGUUAAGCAGCCUGACGAUGAAGCGC
Rhipicephalus sanguineus (brown dog tick) is the source of this 1902-nucleotide RNA transcript. RefSeq lists it as uncharacterized. The record is from RefSeq and is a predicted model, not a curated record. The transcript has 10 exons. NCBI's taxonomy places the organism in Eukaryota, Metazoa, Arthropoda, Arachnida, Ixodida, Ixodidae.